Molecule: ribosomal RNA, 250 nt
Filed under: uncultured bacterium
Lineage: Bacteria
Description: partial 16S ribosomal RNA
Rfam family: Bacterial small subunit ribosomal RNA
Source: RNAcentral
UACAGAGGUCCCGAGCGUUGUUCGGAUUCACUGGGCGUAAAGGGUGCGUAGGUGGUGAGGCAAGUCGGAUGUGAAAGCUCCGGGCUCAACCCGGAAAUGGCAUUGGAAACUGCCUUGCUGGAGGUUUGGAGGGGGGACUGGAAUUCUCGGUGUAGCAGUGAAAUGCGUAGAUAUCGAGAGGAACACCAGUGGCGAAGGCGGGUCCCUGGACAACACCUGACACUGAGGCACGAAAGCUAGGGGAGCAAAC